Molecule: ribosomal RNA, 468 nt
Filed under: uncultured bacterium
Lineage: Bacteria
Description: partial 16S ribosomal RNA
Rfam family: Bacterial small subunit ribosomal RNA
Source: RNAcentral
GACGAACGCUGGCGGCGUGCUUAACACAUGCAAGUCGAACGGAAAGGCCCUGCUCUUGUGGGUUGCUCGAGUGGCGAACGGGUGAGUAACACGUGAGUAACCUGCCCUUCACUUUGGUAUAACUUCACGAAACUGGGGCUAAUACCGGAUAGGAGCUCCUGCUUCUUGGUGGUGGUUGGAAAGUUUCGGCUGUUGUGUAUGGUCUCGCGGCUUCUCAGCGUGUUGGUGGGGUAGUGGCUUACCAAGGCUUUGACGGGUAGCCGGCCUGAGCGGGUGACCGGCAACAUGGGGACUGAGAUAGGGCGCAGAAGCGUACGAGAGGCAGCAGUGGGGAAUAUUGCAAAGUGGGGGGAAGCCUGAUGCAGCAACGCCGCGUGCGGGAUGACGGGCUUCGGGUUGUAAACCGCUUUCGCCUGGGACGAAGCGGGAGUGACGGUAAUGGGUAAAGAAGCACCGGCUAACUACGUG